CGGAGGAUGCGAGCGUUAUCCGGAUUUAUUGGGUUUAAAGGGUGCGUAGGCGGCUUUUUAAGUCAGCGGUGAAAUUUUGCAGCUUAACUGUAACAGUGCCGUUGAUACUUGGGAGCUAGGAUUUGGUUGCUGUGGGUGGAAUGUGUGGUGUAGCGGUGAAAUGCUUAUAGAUCACACAGAAUAUCGAUUGCGAAGGCAGCUCACAAAGCCAAGAUUGACGCUGAGGCACGAAAGUGUGGGGAUCAAACAGGAUUA
This 255-nucleotide ribosomal RNA is filed under the name uncultured prokaryote. Its description in RNAcentral is "partial 16S ribosomal RNA". It matches the Rfam family "Bacterial small subunit ribosomal RNA", at positions 526 to 780 of the family's 1533-position model. The record is from RNAcentral.